This is a long non-coding RNA of Vigna angularis (adzuki bean), 1009 nucleotides long. RefSeq lists it as uncharacterized. NCBI's taxonomy places the organism in Eukaryota, Viridiplantae, Streptophyta, Magnoliopsida, Fabales, Fabaceae. The record is from RefSeq and is a predicted model, not a curated record. The transcript has 2 exons.
ACACUUCUACAUUGUGUUUAAAAGAAGCUACACUGCAUUUAAUUAUUCUGUGUGUUGAUCUGUAUAACUGAUGGAAUAUUCUUCUUGAAAUUACAGAAGCAAAAAUCUGAUAUGGAAACUGUUAUAUUUCACACGUCCAUAUUCCACAUAGUUUUGCAACCUUUGCCAAGUCAACAUAAUGGUAAAAAUGGGGCACUUGGCACACGGCAAAUUGGAGAAUGGAAGUGGCAUCAGGUGGAGGUGUUCACGGCUCUCUCAGAAAUUGAUUGGAAAGUGAUAGCAUGGCCCCAUGACAACCACGUUGGCACACACCAAAACAUCACAAAUGCUUGAAUAAAAAGGGCCACCACUCUCGAAGCAGCGCAUGAGAGAUUGAAGUAAGUGAGUGAUAGUUGAGGAUUUACCCCUUUCAUUAGAGAAGCCACAGUGCAGCAAAGAUAAAAACACACGGCCCUUGGAUAACUAAGGAUCAACAAAAUAUAUGAAGGGAUAAAAAGCGGGAGCAGCCACUGAAGGGAAUAUUAUCCUCACUGAAAAGCUUGGCAGAGGACGUGGAGAGCAGGCCAUGAUUGAACGGAAGAGAUGGCUCAUAGCUGGCUGGGUUUUCCUUUUUAAAAAGGAAGAGACUUACAAGCUUAAAAAAGGAGGUUCUGAGGUUGGGAGGUUACACUCUGAGUCUGGACGUUGUUCUCGGGAGACAGUGGAUGUUACACAGAUUCUGGAUACUACACUCUUGGCUGGAGUUCUCUGCAGAAAAACAAUUUGGUUGGAGAGCAAGAGAGGAGAAAUGCGUUAGCUGCCACCACAAGCAAGAACUCUGGUUUGGAUUCUCUGUCUGCAUAAUGGAAUGGGGUUUAGUUUGAAUAGGUUUGGUUUGUUUAUUAAUGCUUGAACCAAGAGUGAAGUUAUUGUUCUAAACAUGUGGAAGAAUAUGUACACUUCCUUCUUUGCUGUUAACGUGUUGUGUACUGUCAUUUCCAAUUUGAAUUGAAUUUGGUUGCUUAUUUUA